GAUGAACGCUGGCGACAGGCUUAACACAUGCAAGUCGAGGGGCAGCACGGGAGUAGCAAUACAACUGGUGGCGACCGGCGCACGGGUGAGUAACGCGUAUGCAACCUACCUAUCAGAGGGGAAUAACCCGGCGAAAGUCGGACUAAUACCGCAUAAAACAGGGGCACCGCAUGGUGAUAUUUGUUAAAGAAAUUCGCUGAUAGAUGGGCAUGCGUUCCAUUAGGUAGUUGGUGAGGUAACGGCUCACCAAGCCGACGAUGGAUAGGGGAACUGAGAGGUUGGUCCCCCACACUGGUACUGAGACACGGACCAGACUCCUACGGGAGGCAGCAGUGAGGAAUAUUGGUCAAUGGGCGGGAGCCUGAACCAGCCAAGUCGCGUGAAGGAAGAAGGAUCUAUGGUUCGUAAACUUCUUUUGCAGGGGAGUAAAGUGCAGGACGUGUCCUGUUUUGUAUGUACCCUGAGAAUAAGGAUCGGCUAACUCCGUGCCAGCAGCCGCCGUAA
Molecule: ribosomal RNA, 504 nt
Filed under: uncultured bacterium
Lineage: Bacteria
Description: partial 16S ribosomal RNA
Rfam family: Bacterial small subunit ribosomal RNA
Source: RNAcentral